RNAcentral lists this ribosomal RNA (498 nucleotides) under uncultured bacterium. RNAcentral's name for it is "partial 16S ribosomal RNA". It matches the Rfam family "Bacterial small subunit ribosomal RNA", at positions 30 to 523 of the family's 1533-position model. The record is from RNAcentral.
AUUGAACGCUGGCGGCAUGCUUUACACAUGCAAGUCGAACGGUAACAGGCCGCAAGGUGCUGACGAGUGGCGAACGGGUGAGUAAUGCAUCGGAACGUGCCCAGUCGUGGGGGAUAACGCAGCGAAAGCUGUGCUAAUACCGCAUACGAUCUAUGGAUGAAAGCGGGGGACCGUAAGGCCUCGCGCGAUUGGAGCGGCCGAUGUCAGAUUAGGUAGUUGGUGGGGUAAAGGCUCACCAAGCCAACGAUCUGUAGCUGGUCUGAGAGGACGACCUGCCACACUGGGACUGAGACACGGCCCAGACUCCUACGGGAGGCAGCAGUGGGGAAUUUUGGACAAUGGGCGCAAGCCUGAUCCAGCAAUGCCGCGUGCAGGAAGAAGGCCUUCGGGUUGUAAACUGCUUUUGUACGGAACGAAAAGGUUUGGGUUAUUACCCUGGGCCGAUGACGGUACCGUAAGAAUAAGCACCGGCUAACUACGUGCCAGCCGCCGCAGUAA